RNAcentral lists this ribosomal RNA (253 nucleotides) under uncultured bacterium. RNAcentral's name for it is "partial 16S ribosomal RNA". It matches the Rfam family "Bacterial small subunit ribosomal RNA", at positions 524 to 776 of the family's 1533-position model. The record is from RNAcentral.
UACGUAGGUGACAAGCGUUGUCCGGAUUUACUGGGCGUAAAGAGCGCGCAGGCGGUCGAUCAAGUCGGGGGUGAAAGCCCCCGGCUCAACUGGGGAGGGUCAUUCGAUACUGAUCGACUCGAAGGCAGGAGAGGGUAGUGGAAUUCCCGGUGUAGUGGUGAAAUGCGUAGAUAUCGGGAGGAACACCAGUGGCGAAGGCGACUACCUGGCCUGUUCUUGACGCGGAGGCGCGAAAGCUAGGGGAGCAAACGGG